GAUGAACGCUGGCGGCGUGCCUAAUACAUGCAAGUCGAGCGAACAGAUGAGGAGCUUGCUCCUCUGACGUUAGCGGCGGACGGGUGAGUAACACGUGGAUAACCUACCUAUAAGACUGGGAUAACUUCGGGAAACCGGAGCUAAUACCGGAUAAUAUAUUGAACCGCAUGGUUCAAUAGUGAAAGACGGUUUUGCUGUCACUUAUAGAUGGAUCCGCGCCGCAUUAGCUAGUUGGUAAGGUAACGGCUUACCAAGGCAACGAUGCGUAGCCGACCUGAGAGGGUGAUCGGCCACACUGGAACUGAGACACGGUCCAGACUCCUACGGGAGGCAGCAGUGGGGAAUCUUCCGCAAUGGGCGAAAGCUUGACGGAGCAACGCGGCGUGAGUGAUGAAGGUCUUCGGAUCGUAAAACUCUGUUAUUAGGGAAGAACAAAGGUGUAAGUAACUAUGCACGUCUUGACGGUACCUAAGCAGAAAGCCACGGCUAACUACGU
RNAcentral lists this ribosomal RNA (496 nucleotides) under uncultured bacterium. Its description in RNAcentral is "partial 16S ribosomal RNA". It matches the Rfam family "Bacterial small subunit ribosomal RNA", at positions 28 to 506 of the family's 1533-position model. The record is from RNAcentral.